AAAAAUAGAUGCUAUUGAACUCAACAAAGAGUGCAUCAGACGUACAGAAAAAUGUAUCAAUGAAUCAGCUGCAAUCACCAAUUUAUAUUAAAAUGAACAGGCGGGGGGAGCUUGAUAUUUUUGUAAACGAUGGAGGCUCCAUCAUGGAGAAUCGGGGAUGGUCUCUCAAGUGGUAUAUGGAGCUACACAAUGUCUUUAUAAAUUAAU
Molecule: long non-coding RNA, 207 nt
Organism: Brassica oleracea var. oleracea
Lineage: Eukaryota; Viridiplantae; Streptophyta; Magnoliopsida; Brassicales; Brassicaceae
Exons: 2
Source: RefSeq, a predicted model, not a curated record